Long non-coding RNA from Callorhinus ursinus (northern fur seal), 1656 nucleotides. RefSeq lists it as uncharacterized. NCBI's taxonomy places the organism in Eukaryota, Metazoa, Chordata, Mammalia, Carnivora, Otariidae. The record is from RefSeq and is a predicted model, not a curated record.
GUGCCGCCCCAUCAUUUCGGGGAAAUCAGGCUGUUGUAGAGCUAGCGGCGAAGGGGAAGUACAGGGCGGCUGCUCCUCCCCACCCCCUCCGGCCCGGCGCCGCCGCCCUGGGGCGACCGCGGGCCCGCCCCGUCCGCUCCCACUCCACCCCCGCACCAGCUAGCCUGGGAGAAAGCUGUCCUGGAAAGCCGAACGCCCCCGGCCCGCAGUUACUCCCCUCACUCCGCAUUCUCCCAGCCUGCUCGGUCCUGUGGCCAUCUUCUCACCCUCCUCUCCGGGGAUGCGUGUCUUCUGAGCGCAGCGACAGAGAAAUGAUGUCCGUAAAGCACCGUGCCGCACCUGGGGACAGAGAUGCUGCGCGGUUUUCGAGGUCCCUGCCCAGAGCCUAACAAUGACCGAGAAGCACUUCCCCCUCUUCUGGCUCUACAUCCUUUGGGAUUGCCAUACAGCUGAUCUUAGGGAAAGAGAGGAUUUCAGAGAAGCCCCGACUGCUGAGUUGGGGUAGGACUUGGGUAGCCUUGUUCCUCCUAGCACUCCUGCCUUAGGCCACCUCCACAGCCUCACAGGGCCCUUGCCUGGGAGCGCCUUAGUAGCAGCGUUGGUGUUGCCUGGGGUCCUCAGCGCUGGGCCCAGAGAGGUUCUGGGCAGCAAGGGGGAGGUUGCUUAGGGAUGGCCAAGGCCAUGGAUGUGGCCAAAGAGUUGUGGAACCCAGGUCCCGGUCUCUUGGGAAGGGCAGCUACUUAACCCCCUGUGCUUUAACGUAGACCUUGCCCCACUUGUGCUCCUAGAGACCGGCCUGAGUGUUCAUUUUCCAUUCAGAACUCUGGCCCAGCAGGUUCCUUCCUUCACCUUCCCCAAAGCUGCUGACUCAGAAGUAAAUUGCUCCUCCAGGCGGGGCUGGUCGUGUUAUUCCCCUCAACCCAGCUCUCCCUUCACAGCCUCAGCACCCAGUUGCAAUGGUGCAGGCUAUAAAUAGACACACUGAUGCAGCAUUCCACCUGUCAGUCACUCCACUGCCUCCCUCCCACGGAGGAAAUGGAUGGGUUAAUCCAAUUCUGGUGCACCAGAAUCUGAUGCUGGGACUAACGCGAAGCUUGGUUCCCAAGAGACCUACAAGAAUGGGUCAGAGCUGUCUGCCAGAGAGUGGUGGGUGCACUUGCUUAGAGAGGCAAAGAGGCAGGAGGAACUGCAAGGAAGGAGCCUCGCUGGCUGUUAAGAAAAAUGGAAGGUGCUGAAGCCCAGGAAGGGGGAGAAGGGUUGGGGUGCUUUAAAUGGCAGAUGGAGUGGGAACCCACUACGGAAAUCAAGACCUUCGGAGCGAGAAGAGCAGAAAGCAAGUGGCUCCUGAGUUAUGAAGUCUGUUCUCUGUGCAGCAAAUGGAUGCUGGUCCUGUCUCAAUAGCCACUGGAAAAUUCAAAAUGAGAUCAGGGAAAGGAAGGUUGCAUCUCAUGCGGUCUCAGAAAUUGACCAAAAUGACCCUUUAAAGGCAAUAGUAGGAGCCUGUAAAAAGUGCCUUAAAACAAGAACUUUAUUUUAAUUCACAGAUAAUCAUCUGUAUCUGUAUAUCUUUCCAUGUCAUGAAGUGUACUUGUACAAUAUAAUUGAUAAUGGUAUAUAUUAUUCUCUAAUAAGGAUAAAUAAAAACUUACCAAUUAA